Molecule: ribosomal RNA, 291 nt
Filed under: Triticum aestivum (bread wheat)
Lineage: Eukaryota; Viridiplantae; Streptophyta; Magnoliopsida; Poales; Poaceae
Description: partial small subunit ribosomal RNA
Source: RNAcentral
AGCAAAGAUAUCCGCGGAGGCCGGUUCGUUCGUCCUAUUCUGAUAUUCAGGACCAAGAGGUACUGGAUUCUCUUUCGGAUAGGCCCUGAAAGGAGAAGAAAGGCUGAAAUGCCAACGGACCUCUGUCUAUUCUCUAAUUCACCCGAUCCGAUAGUACCCGUUUUUGGAACGUCCAGUGCCAAAGUCAUUGAAUGGGUAAGUCACCAAUCCAAUCCCUUUGACAAAUCGGAUGUAAUAUUAGAUAUCAUAUUCUAUAUAUAUAGAAAUAUCAUAGAUAGAAUAGACAUAUAG